This 497-nucleotide ribosomal RNA is filed under the name uncultured bacterium. Its description in RNAcentral is "partial 16S ribosomal RNA". It matches the Rfam family "Bacterial small subunit ribosomal RNA", at positions 28 to 507 of the family's 1533-position model. The record is from RNAcentral.
GAUGAACGCUGGCGGCGUGCCUAAUACAUGCAAGUCGAGCGAACAGAUAAGGAGCUUGCUCCUUUGACGUUAGCGGCGGACGGGUGAGUAACACGUGGGUAACCUACCUAUAAGACUGGAAUAACUCCGGGAAACCGGGGCUAAUGCCGGAUAACAUGUUGAACCGCAUGGUUCUACAGUGAAAGGCGGCUUUGCUGUCACUUAUAGAUGGACCCGCGCCGUAUUAGCUAGUUGGUGAGGUAACGGCUCACCAAGGCAACGAUACGUAGCCGACCUGAGAGGGUGAUCGGCCACACUGGAACUGAGACACGGUCCAGACUCCUACGGGAGGCAGCAGUAGGGAAUCUUCCGCAAUGGGCGGAAGCCUGACGGAGCAACGCCGCGUGAGUGAUGAAGGUCUUCGGAUCGUAAAACUCUGUUAUUAGGGAAGAACAAAUGCGUAAGUAACUGUGCGCGUCUUGACGGUACCUAAUCAGAAAGCCACGGCUAACUACGUG